UACAGAGGGGGCGAGCGUUGUUCGGAAUUACUGGGCGUAAAGCGCACGUAGGCGGCUCCAAAAGUCGGAUGUGAAAUCCCUCGGCUCAACCAAGGAAGUGCACCCGAAACUGCGGAGCUUGAGUAUGGAAGAGGGUCGCGGAAUUCCCGGUGUAGAGGUGAAAUUCGUAGAUAUCGGGAGGAACACCAGUGGCGAAGGCGGCGACCUGGGCCAAUACUGACGCUGAGGUGCGAAAGCGUGGGGAGCAAACAGG
Molecule: ribosomal RNA, 253 nt
Filed under: uncultured bacterium
Lineage: Bacteria
Description: partial 16S ribosomal RNA
Rfam family: Bacterial small subunit ribosomal RNA
Source: RNAcentral